This is a microRNA precursor of Cricetulus griseus (Chinese hamster), 80 nucleotides long. The record is from Ensembl. Lineage: Eukaryota; Metazoa; Chordata; Mammalia; Rodentia; Cricetidae.
UCAGCCUGUGUUACUCAAACUAUGGGGGCAAUUUUUGUUCUUGAAUAAAGUGCCGCCAGGUUUUGAGCACUGUUGGUUGA